RNAcentral lists this ribosomal RNA (497 nucleotides) under uncultured bacterium. RNAcentral's name for it is "partial 16S ribosomal RNA". It matches the Rfam family "Bacterial small subunit ribosomal RNA", at positions 28 to 507 of the family's 1533-position model. The record is from RNAcentral.
GAUGAACGCUGGCGGCGUGCCUAAUACAUGCAAGUCGAGCGAACAGACGAGGAGCUUGCUCCUCUGACGUUAGCGGCGGACGGGUGAGUAACACGUGGAUAACCUACCUAUAAGACUGGGAUAACUUCGGGAAACCGGAGCUAAUACCGGAUAACAUGUUGAACCGCAUGGUUCAACAGUGAAAGACGGUCUUGCUGUCACUUAUAGAUGGAUCCGCGCCGCAUUAGCUAGUUGGUAAGGUAACGGCUUACCAAGGUAACGAUGCGUAGCCGACCUGAGAGGGUGAUCGGCCACACUGGAACUGAGACACGGUCCAGACUCCUACGGGAGGCAGCAGUAGGGAAUCUUCCGCAAUGGGCGAAAGCCUGACGGAGCAACGCCGCGUGAGUGAUGAAGGUCUUCGGAUCGUAAAACUCUGUUAUUAGGGAAGAACAAAUGUGUAAGUAACUAUGCACGUCUUGACGGUACCUAAUCAGAAAGCCACGGCUAACUACGUG